GGAGUUGUGGCUCAGUGGUAGAGCACUUGCCUAGUACGCAUGAGGCCCUGGGUUCAAUCGCCAGCACCA
Non-coding RNA from Ictidomys tridecemlineatus (thirteen-lined ground squirrel), 69 nucleotides. The record is from Rfam. Lineage: Eukaryota; Metazoa; Chordata; Mammalia; Rodentia; Sciuridae.